CGGGAUGUAGCGCAGUCUGGUAGCGUAUCGGCAUGGGGUGCCGGGGGUCGCUGGUUCGAAUCCAGUCAUCCCGA
RNAcentral lists this transfer RNA (74 nucleotides) under Flavobacteriaceae bacterium. RNAcentral's name for it is "tRNA-Pro". It matches the Rfam family "tRNA". Rfam says of the family: Transfer RNA (tRNA) molecules are approximately 80 nucleotides in length. Their secondary structure includes four short double-helical elements and three loops (D, anti-codon, and T loops). RNAcentral also lists the same sequence under 1 other name. Lineage: Bacteria; Pseudomonadati; Bacteroidota; Flavobacteriia; Flavobacteriales; Flavobacteriaceae. The record is from RNAcentral.